This 253-nucleotide ribosomal RNA is filed under the name uncultured bacterium. RNAcentral's name for it is "partial 16S ribosomal RNA". It matches the Rfam family "Bacterial small subunit ribosomal RNA", at positions 524 to 776 of the family's 1533-position model. The record is from RNAcentral.
UACGGAGGGUGCAAGCGUUGUUCGGAAUUACUGGGCGUAAAGAGCGUGUAGGCGGCUAGUUAAGUCAGAUGUGAAAGCCCUGGGCUCAACCCAGGAAGUGCAUUUGAAACUAAUUAGCUAGAGUACGAGAGAGGAAGGUGGAAUUCCUGGUGUAGAGGUGAAAUUCAUAGAUAUCGGGAAGAAUACCGGUGGCGAAGGCGGCCUCCUGGCUCGACACUGACGCUGAGGUGCGAAAGCGUGGGGAGCAAACAGG